UUUUGCAAAGGAGGCCAGAUUUGGUGGAAAACAUAGUUUACUUCCAUUGGUUGUAAAUUCCCACCCGUUUUUGGCCCUUGAACACAUCUGGGCCACGCUCCCCACCUUCACUUCCGGUUGCAGCCUUGCCGGGCUCAUUAGUGUAUAUAGGCACYGGGUGUGCACGCCAAUCUGAGUGUGUUUGUCGGGUCCGUUGUGUUGUAGUUGGCUCUCGGUCAGAUGAGCGCUGGCGCCGUGCUCAUCGGGUUGCUGGAGAGUGUUCGGAUCGUGGACAUUUGAUACUGAUUGCUGCUGUUGCCUAUUGUGCUCCCACCAAGUGCAUGGGUUUUGUAGUUAGAUGCUCUUAAAGAAUAGGUCAUCUUUUAGGGAUGGAGUUGUAGCACGAACAGUGCAGAACCAGAAUAGUUUAUAGCUCCUUAUUUUUAUUAGAUUAUUGGGCACAGCCUUAGGACUGGGUUGGGGAAAUGUGGGAUUUGUUUUUCUUUUGUCUAACAUUAUUUUGUGUUUCUACUAAUUUGGUUUGCAUUUGUUUUGAUUCCAAUUGCUUCUAGUCUUGUCCUGGGGUUGAGCUUUGAGUUUUUAAUUAGAAUAAUAAAGUCUACUUUUAAUAUUGUAAGAGAAUGUAUAAAUAAAAAUAUAUUUUGUA
Poecilia reticulata (guppy) is the source of this 646-nucleotide non-coding RNA. The record is from RefSeq and is a predicted model, not a curated record. NCBI's taxonomy places the organism in Eukaryota, Metazoa, Chordata, Actinopteri, Cyprinodontiformes, Poeciliidae.